UGGGGAAUAUUGCGCAAUGGGCGAAAGCCUGACGCAGCAACGCCGCGUGUGUGAUGAAGGCUCUCGGGUCGUAAAGCACUGUCAGAAGGGAAGAAACAAAUGACGGUACCUUCAAAGGAAGCACCGGCUAACUCCGUGCCAGCAGCCGCGGUAAUACGGAGGGUGCAAGCGUUGUUCGGAAUCAUUGGGCGUAAAGCGCGCGCAGGCGGCUUGCCAAGUCUGAUGUGAAAUCCCGGGGCUCAACCUCGGAACUGCAUUGGAAACUGGUAGGCUUGAGUAUGUGAGGGGUUAGUGGAAUUCCUGGUGUAGGGGUGAAAUCCGUAGAGAUCAGGAGGAACACCGGUGGCGAAGGCGACUGACUGGAACAUAACUGACGCUGAGGCGCGAAAGCGUGGGUAGCAAACAG
RNAcentral lists this ribosomal RNA (406 nucleotides) under uncultured organism. RNAcentral's name for it is "bacterial SSU rRNA". It matches the Rfam family "Bacterial small subunit ribosomal RNA", at positions 355 to 775 of the family's 1533-position model. The record is from RNAcentral.